UGGUUCGCUUGCGCUUGGGCGUGAGUGUCGUAAGAGGGAACCCGGUGUGAGUCCGGGACUGCCCCGCAGCGGUGAGCGGGAACGACCGCCGUCAUCACGCACUGGGCCACGCGGCCUGGGAAGCGACGGCCAGUAGGACGCCUCGGAGAGGCGAUGCCCGCGAGUCCGAAGACCUGCCU
RNAcentral lists this non-coding RNA (179 nucleotides) under Actinomadura madurae. Lineage: Bacteria; Bacillati; Actinomycetota; Actinomycetes; Streptosporangiales; Thermomonosporaceae. The record is from RNAcentral.